RNAcentral lists this ribosomal RNA (468 nucleotides) under uncultured bacterium. RNAcentral's name for it is "partial 16S ribosomal RNA". It matches the Rfam family "Bacterial small subunit ribosomal RNA", at positions 28 to 507 of the family's 1533-position model. The record is from RNAcentral.
GACGAACGCUGGCGGCGUGCUUAACACAUGCAAGUCGAACGGAAAGGCCCUGCUUUUGUGGGGUGCUCGAGUGGCGAACGGGUGAGUAACACGUGAGUAACCUGCCCUUGACUUUGGGAUAACUUCAGGAAACUGGGGCUAAUACCGUAUAGGAGCUCCUGCUGCAUGGUGGGGGUUGGAAAGUCUCGGCGGUUGGGGAUGGACUCGCGGCUUAUCAGCUUGUUGGUGGGGUAGUGGCUUACCAAGGCUUUGACGGGUAGCCGGCCUGAGAGGGUGACCGGCCACAUUGGGACUGAGAUACGGCCCAGACUCCUACGGGAGGCAGCAGUGGGGAAUAUUGCACAAUGGGCGGAAGCCGGAUGCAGCAACGCCGCGUGCGGGAUGACGGCCUUCGGGUUGUAAACCGCUUUCGCCUGUGACGAAGCGUGAGUGACGGUAAUGGGUAAAGAAGCACCGGCUAACUACGUG